This 664-nucleotide ribosomal RNA is filed under the name uncultured archaeon. RNAcentral's name for it is "bacterial SSU rRNA". It matches the Rfam family "Archaeal small subunit ribosomal RNA", at positions 691 to 1353 of the family's 1478-position model. The record is from RNAcentral.
UCGACGGUGAGGGGUGAAAGCUGGGGGAGCAAACCGGAUUAGAUACCCGGGUAGUCCCAGCUGUAAACUAUGCAAACUCAGUGAUGCAUUGGCUUGUGGCCAAUGCAGUGCUGCAGGGAAGCCGUUAAGUUUGCCGCCUGGGAAGUACGUACGCAAGUAUGAAACUUAAAGGAAUUGGCGGGGGAGCACCACAAGGGGUGAAGCCUGCGGUUCAAUUGGAGUCAACGCCAGAAAUCUUACCCGGAGAGACAGCAGAAUGAAGGUCAAGCUGAAGACUUUACCAGACAAGCUGAGAGGUGGUGCAUGGCCGUCGCCAGCUCGUGCCGUGAGAUGUCCUGUUAAGUCAGGUAACGAGCGAGAUCCCUGCCUCUAGUUGCCACCAUUACUCUCAGGAGUAGUGGGGCGAAUUAGCGGGACCGCCGCAGUUAAUGCGGAGGAAGGAAGGGGCCACGGCAGGUCAGUAUGCCCCGAAACUCUGGGGCCACACGCGGGCUGCAAUGGUAACGACAAUUGGUUUCGAAUCCGAAAGGAUGAGGUAAUCCUCAAACGUUACCACAGUUAUGACUGAGGGCUGCAACUCGCCCUCACGAAUAUGGAAUCCCUAGUAACUGCGUGUCAUUAUCGCGCGGUGAAUACGUCCCUGCUCCUUGCACACACCGCCCGU